This 70-nucleotide small RNA is filed under the name Sinorhizobium meliloti 2011. RNAcentral's name for it is "putative ncRNA". Lineage: Bacteria; Pseudomonadati; Pseudomonadota; Alphaproteobacteria; Hyphomicrobiales; Rhizobiaceae. The record is from RNAcentral.
GAGAGGCCGCACGACGGCCGAUAGGAGCGGUCACCCGCGUGACCGACAAAGCUUAUGCAAACGGCAUUGU